AGAGGAAGUAAAAGUCGUAACAAGGUUUCCGUAGGUGAACCUGCGGAAGGAUCAUUACCGAACUGUCGACACGAGUUGUUGCUGGUCCUCGAAAGGGGUCAAGUGCACGCUCUGUUUACACAUCCACUCACACCUGUGCACCCUCUGUAGUUCUAUGGCCUGGGGGCUCUGUCCUCUYGCUGUGGUCCUACGUCUUUACACACACACACCGUAAUAGAGUCUCAUGGAAUGUAUCUCGCGUUUAACGCAGUAUAAUACAACUUUCAGCAACGGAUCUCUUGGCUCUCGCAUCGAUGAAGAACGCAGCGAAAUGCGAUAAGUAAUGUGAAUUGCAGAAUUCAGUGAAUCAUCGAAUCUUUGAACGCACCUUGCGCCCUUUGGCUAUUCCGAAGGGCAUGCCUGUUUGAGUAUCAYGAACACCUCAACUCUCAUGGUYCACCAUGAUGAGCUUGGACUUUGGGGGUCUUGCUGGCCUAUCACCGGCUCCUCUCAAACGAAUCAGCUUGCCAGUGUUUGGUGGCAUCACAGGUGUGAUAACUAUCUACGCUUGUGUUUUCCCACCAGGUAACCUCCAGCAAUGGGGGUUCGCUGAAGCUCACAAUUGUCUCUCCUCAGUGGAGACAGCUUUUGAACGUUUGAUCUCAAAUCAGGUAGGACUACCCGCUGAACUUAAGCAUAUCAA
This 682-nucleotide ribosomal RNA is filed under the name uncultured Thelephorales. Its description in RNAcentral is "eukaryotic LSU rRNA". Lineage: Eukaryota; Fungi; Basidiomycota; Agaricomycetes; Thelephorales. The record is from RNAcentral.